CCUACGGGUGGCAGCAGUGAGGAAUAUUGGUCAAUGGUCGUGAGACUGAACCAGCCAAGUAGCGUGAAGGAUGACUGCCCUACGGGUUGUAAACUUCUUUUAUCAAGGAAUAAAGUGAGGCACGUGUGCCUUUUUGUAUGUACUUCAUGAAUAAGGAUCGGCUAACUCCGUGCCAGCAGCCGCGGUAAUACGGAGGAUCCGCGCGUUAUCCGGAUUUAUUGGGUUUAAAGGGAGCGUAGAUGGGUUGUUAAGUCAGUUGUGAAAGUUUGCGGCUCAACCGUGAAAUUGGAAUUGAUACUGGCAGCCUUGAGUACAGUUGAGGUAGGCGGAAUUCGUGGUGUAGCGGUGAAAUGCUUAGAUAUCACGAAGAACUCCGAUUGCGAAGGCAGCUUACGAAACUGCCACUGACAUUGAUGCUCGAAAGUGUGGGUAUCAAACAGGAUUAGAUACCCGAGUAGUC
RNAcentral lists this ribosomal RNA (460 nucleotides) under uncultured bacterium. Its description in RNAcentral is "partial 16S ribosomal RNA". It matches the Rfam family "Bacterial small subunit ribosomal RNA", at positions 338 to 795 of the family's 1533-position model. The record is from RNAcentral.